AAGGAUCAUUAUCGAAUAUAAACUUGGAUGGACUGUUGCUGGCUUUUCUUUGAGAGGCAUGUGCACGUUUAUCCUCUUUAUUUUUCCACCUGUGCACCUUUUGUAGGCUUGGAUUAUCAGUGGUUCUAACAUGUCUUUCAAAGGCAUAAGAAUUGUUUUGGGGCUGCUGUGUUUAAACACAUGUUUAUCGGCUUUCCCUUUUAUUUUCCAAGUCUAUGUUUGCUUUAUACACUCCAGAAAUGUAAUAGAAUGCUGUACUUUAGGUCAUUUGUACCUAUAAUAAAAUCAGUACAACUUUCAGCAACGGAUCUCUUGGCUCUC
This 321-nucleotide unclassified non-coding RNA is filed under the name uncultured fungus. RNAcentral's name for it is "partial contains 18S rRNA, ITS1, 5.8S rRNA, ITS2 and 28S rRNA". Lineage: Eukaryota; Fungi. The record is from RNAcentral.